UGAUAUGUUAAAUGAGACUUGUAUGGACAUGAAUGAGGUCUCUCUAACCAUCUCCCACCUUCAAAUCCAUGAUUGAAUGCACAGUUGACUUGUGUUGACUUUCCUAGGGUUUCAGUUGACCUAGCUAUGCUCUGAUGAAAUCCAAGCCUCUACCACUUGAGAUCUUGAUUCAAAAUGAUAUCAUAACUCACAUGAACUCUUGUAAAUGA
RNAcentral lists this long non-coding RNA (209 nucleotides) under Lathyrus oleraceus (garden pea). RNAcentral describes it as "Pisum sativum (pea) long non-coding RNA (PSAT_LNC008948)". Lineage: Eukaryota; Viridiplantae; Streptophyta; Magnoliopsida; Fabales; Fabaceae. The record is from RNAcentral.